CCUACGGGAGGCAGCAGUGGGGAAUAUUGCACAAUGGGGGAAACCCUGAUGCAGCAACGCCGCGUGAAGGAUGAAGGUUUUCGGAUUGUAAACUUCUUUAGUCAGGGACGAAUAAAUUGACGGUACCUGAAGAAUAAGCCACGGCUAACUACGUGCCAGCAGCCGCGGUAAU
Molecule: ribosomal RNA, 172 nt
Filed under: uncultured bacterium
Lineage: Bacteria
Description: partial 16S ribosomal RNA
Rfam family: Bacterial small subunit ribosomal RNA
Source: RNAcentral